This 534-nucleotide ribosomal RNA is filed under the name Rhodosporidiobolus colostri. RNAcentral's name for it is "partial large subunit ribosomal RNA". It matches the Rfam family "Eukaryotic large subunit ribosomal RNA", at positions 93 to 624 of the family's 3401-position model. The record is from RNAcentral. Lineage: Eukaryota; Fungi; Basidiomycota; Microbotryomycetes; Sporidiobolales; Sporidiobolaceae.
GCGAAGAGGGAAGAGCUCAAAUUUGUAAUCUGGCGCUUUCAGCGUCCGAGUUGUAAUCUCUAGAAAUGUUUUCCGCGUUGCACCGCACACAAGUCUGUUGGAAUACAGCGGCACAGUGGUGAGACCCCCGUUCAUGGUGCGGAUGCGCAAUGCUUUGUGAUACAUUUUCGAAGAGUCGAGUUGUUUGGGAAUGCAGCUCAAAUUGGGUGGUAAAUUCCAUCUAAAGCUAAAUAUUGGCGAGAGACCGAUAGCGAACAAGUACCGUGAGGGAAAGAUGAAAAGCACUUUGGAAAGAGAGUUAACAGUACGUGAAAUUGUUGGAAGGGAAACGCUUGAAGUCAGACUUGCUGUUCGGAGUUCAGCCGCAAGGUGUACUCUCCGAGUUGCAGGCCAGCAUCAGUUUUUCGGGGUGGAAAAUCACGGUUUGAAGGUAGCAGUUUCGGCUGUGUUAUAGCUUUCCGUUGGAUACAUCCUGGGGGACUGAGGAACGCAGUGUGCUUUUAGCAGGGGUUUCGACCUCUUCACACUUAGGAU